RNAcentral lists this ribosomal RNA (464 nucleotides) under uncultured bacterium. Its description in RNAcentral is "partial 16S ribosomal RNA". It matches the Rfam family "Bacterial small subunit ribosomal RNA", at positions 339 to 795 of the family's 1533-position model. The record is from RNAcentral.
CUACGGGAGGCUCCAGUGGGGAAUAUUGCACAAUGGGCGCAAGCCUGAUGCAGCCAUGCCGCGUGUAUGAAGAAGGCCUUCGGGUUGUAAAGUACUUUCAGCGGGGAGGAAGGGAGUAAAGUUAAUACCUUUGCUCAUUGACGUUACCCGCAGAAGAAGCACCGGCUAACUCCGUGCCAGCAGCCGCGGUAAUACGGAGGGUGCAAGCGUUAAUCGGAAUUACUGGGCGUAAAGCGCACGCAGGCGGUUUGUUAAGUCAGAUGGGAAAUCCCCGGGCUCAACCUGGGAACUGCAUCUGAUACUGGCAAGCGUGAGUCUCGUAGAGGGGGGUAGAAUUCCAGGUGUAGCGGUGAAAUGCGUAGAGAUCUGGAGGAAUACCGGUGGCGAAGGCGGCCCCCUGGACGAAGACUGACGCUCAGGUGCGAAAGCGUGGGGAGCAAACAGGAUUAGAUACCCGAGUAGUC